UACGGGGGUGGCAAGCGUUGUUCGGAAUUACUGGGCGUAAAGGGCGCGUAGGCGGGGAGGUAAGUCGGGUGUGAAAUCCCUCGGCUCAACCGAGGAACUGCGCCCGAGACUGGAGGGCUUGAGUGUGGGAGAGGGAUGCGGAAUUCCAGGUGUAGCGGUGAAAUGCGUAGAUAUCAGGAGGAACACCUGUGGUGUAGACAGCUUACUGGACCACUUCUGACGCUGAGACACGAAAGCGUGGGUAGCAAACAGG
This 253-nucleotide ribosomal RNA is filed under the name uncultured bacterium. RNAcentral describes it as "partial 16S ribosomal RNA". It matches the Rfam family "Bacterial small subunit ribosomal RNA", at positions 524 to 776 of the family's 1533-position model. The record is from RNAcentral.